GAUGAAGAACGUAGCGAAACGCGAUAGGUAAUGUGAAUUGCAGAAUUCAGUGAAUCAUCGAGUCUUUGAACGCACAUUGCGCCCCCUGGUAUUCCGGGGGGCAUGCCUGUCCGAGCGUCAUUGCUGCCCUCAAGCACGGCUUGUGUGUUGGGCCCCGUCCCCUCCCCCGGGGACGGGCCCGAAAGGCAGCGGCGGCACCGCGUCCGAUCCUCGAGCGUAUGGGGCUUUGUCACCCGCUCUGUAGGCCCGGCCGGCGCCAGCCGACACCCAACUUUUAUUUCUAAGGUUGACCUCGGAUCAGGUAGGGAUACCCGCUGAACUUAAGCAUAUCAAUAAGCGGAGGA
Molecule: unclassified non-coding RNA, 344 nt
Filed under: soil metagenome
Description: partial contains 5.8S ribosomal RNA, internal transcribed spacer 2, and large subunit ribosomal RNA
Rfam family: 5.8S ribosomal RNA (bases 1-120)
Source: RNAcentral